RNAcentral lists this ribosomal RNA (471 nucleotides) under uncultured bacterium. Its description in RNAcentral is "bacterial SSU rRNA". It matches the Rfam family "Bacterial small subunit ribosomal RNA", at positions 355 to 825 of the family's 1533-position model. The record is from RNAcentral.
UGGGGAAUAUUGGGCAAUGGGCGCAAGCCUGACCCAGCCACGCCGCGUGAGUGAUGAAGGCCUUCGGGUCGUAAAGCUCUGUGGGGAAGGACGAAAAAACAUUGGCUAAUAUCCAAUGGCUUGACGGUACUUCCUUAGCAAGCACCGGCUAACUCUGUGCCAGCAGCCGCGGUAAUACAGAGGGUGCAAACGUUGCUCGGAAUCAUUGGGCGUAAAGCGCACGUAGGCGGCCUGAUAAGUCGGUAGUGAAAGCCCUCGGCUUAACCUAGGAAGUGCUAUCGAAACUGCCAGGCUUGAGUACCGGAGAGGAUCGCGGAAUUCCCGGUGUAGAGGUGAAAUUCGUAGAUAUCGGGAGGAACACCUGUGGCGAAGGCGGCCACCUGGUUGGAUACUGACGCUGAGACGCGAAAGCGUGGGGAGCAAACAGGAUUAGAUACCCAAGUAGUCCCUGAGCGGGCUGGCAAGGCGCAU